RNAcentral lists this long non-coding RNA (2156 nucleotides) under Sus scrofa (pig). RNAcentral's name for it is "lncRNA (ENSSSCG00050054775.1)". Lineage: Eukaryota; Metazoa; Chordata; Mammalia; Artiodactyla; Suidae. The record is from RNAcentral.
GGGAAGGGACAUGGGGGCUCAGGGACAGGGCAGCCAGCGGGGGGCAGCUGGCGUGGGGCCAGCUGAGGGACAGGGCAGCCAGCGGUGGGCAGGAGAUGAGGCCGGCCGCACAGGAUGAGGGGCUGGUCUUGACCUUUCCAGCCUGGCUCGCUGAAUCCCAGCCCUUGAUUACGAAACAUGUUCUGGAAAUUAUUUCCAGCGGGCACACGUCCCUUUGGUGACAGCUUAUUUCUGGAUUCCUGGUGCAAAUGCCUGGGCUGUGAUGACAUUCAGGGGUGUGUUUUACGGCCCCUCAUCUGAUUAGUCACUGAAUUGCAAGGACUCUCCCUGCUGGCUUGGGCACAGAGCACGUGAGUCCGCGAACAAAAUAACUUGUUUAUUUCCUCCAGGCUGCUUCUAACAGACUGUGAAGUCAGGGGCGUCCCCUGCCUCAGUGUCCCCCUUAAGGAUGUCCCAGCUGUAUGGAAAUGAAGUGCUGGGGUCCUUCCCAGGGCAGUGGCCUCUACUGCAGAGGUUUUUGAGGCUCCUUAGAGGGGUAUUUCCAACUUUUUGUCUGAAGAAAUUAUUUCGGGUAUCUCUGAAAAUUUUUGGAGUACAGAAUGAGUCCGUAACAGAUUCUAGCAGACCAACCUCAGUUUUCCUUUGAAAAGGAGUGCUUCCAUUCCUUUUCAGUUCUCAGGUGGGGUCAGCCACCGUGAGGGCAGUGUGCAGGGCAGCUCAGGAGGCCAGAGGUUGCCCUGAGAGGCAGGGUCAUAUGACUUGAGGUCAUAUCUCCCUCCACCUCACUGUGCUUGUCUUUAAAAUGGGUAUAAUGGAGUUUCCACUGUGGCUCAGCUAGUAUCCAUGAGGUUGUGGAUUUGAUCCCUGGCAUCAAUCAGUGGAUUAAGGAUCAGUGUGGUAUAGGCUGAAGAGGUGGCUCAGAUCCCAAGUUGCUGUGGCUGUGGCUGUGGCUUAGCCUGGGAACUUCCAUAAGCCACAGAUAUACCCCUAAAAAGAUAAAAUAAUAAAAUAAAAUAAAACAAAAUAAAAUAAAAUAAAAUACAAUGAGUAUGAUACUGGAACCCCCUGCCUGAGCAUCUGUGUGCAGAUUUUUUGGCGUCGACCACAGAAUGGUGUGCUUUCAGUUCAUCGGCGCUACCACGGCUCUUGUUAUUUGUGAUCAUUUUCUGCAAGGAGUGGAGGAUUCCCUACUCUGAACAAGCCUCCUGGAGCUCCCGUCAUAGCUCAGUGGAAAUGAAUCUGACUAGGAUCCAUGAGGACGCAGGGAUCAAACCCACAUCCUCAUGGAUACUAGUCAGGUUCUUAAACUGCUGAGCCACAGCAGGAAUUCCAGUCUUGUUCUGAUUUGAUCCUGCAAGAAUUCAGUGUUUGUCCCAGAAGACGGCAGUGAAAGGGGCUGAUCCCGUGACGAUUCCAGAACGUGCUUGGGUGCUGAAUUCCUCUGUGUUCUGUGAAUGUACUUGAGGACCGAGAAUUCCUGUGCUUGGUUUGUCCCCCAUUUGCUCCCAAAGCAGCGGCCCUGCCUGUAGCCCCAGGCAGGGGGACAUCUCUGUCUCCUUAUCAGACAAAGUCACCAACCCAUAUCCACGCCUUACACCGUCCUUUUCCUUUUAAAGAACUAAAGCAUUUUGUUUGAUCCAUGGUCAUAGCCACACGCCACGUGAGACCCCCUCCCAUGCCCCACGGUUUAGCCCCUGCAGAUGUUGUCAGCUGGCAGCCUCGCUGAGGCCUGGAUGUCCAGGCAAGAACUGGGGAGGCCUUUACAGAACAGGCCCCUUGACUCAAUGCCUGGGGUUUCAACCCAGCUCUCUUCACAGGCACCUGACCCUGGGCAAGUUCCCAAACCUCAGAGCUCAUUUCUUUGCCUUUGAUUCGUGGGAGAUGCUAUUUCAUUCAGGGGUCAAGGUGAGAAUUAGCACACAGGAAGCCCGCCAAGUGCCCGGCCCCUGGCUGAGGGCUCCGGGGACAAGAGUUCCCUGUACAGCUGUCCAGGGCUGGGGGUCAGGCUCCUCAAGGGGACAUGCUCUGGACCUAAGGGAUGAGACAGGCAGAGUGGGAUGGGCAGGGGCUGGUCUGAGGAACAGCCGGCCAGAGUCCAGAAGAGCAGUCGGCUGAGAUUUUCUAUCUUGGGACUCUUUUCUAAAAAAAAAAAAAAA